RNAcentral lists this long non-coding RNA (318 nucleotides) under Homo sapiens (human). RNAcentral's name for it is "HSALNT0309415". Lineage: Eukaryota; Metazoa; Chordata; Mammalia; Primates; Hominidae. The record is from RNAcentral.
AGAAAAACAAGCUCAGGGCUCCCACUGAUUCUACUUGAUGCUCUCCAGGAACACAUCUUUGAAGACAAAAUGCCUCCAAGAUCCCCAGUACUGUAGCUCUUCUCCUGAAGCAACUAUUUCCAGCCUUGAAAGUUAUCAGCUCAGGAGAGGAAGCACUGCAAGCAGCUCCUGGGCCCUGGGGUAUGGUUGCAGAUUCAUCACCUAGCUACUUGUUUGUGGUGUUAUCAUCUUUUUUUCCCUGACAUAUUUUGGAACUUGACUACAUCUGAUAUAUUUCUCAACAGUAAGUACAGCUACAUAAAGCAUUUAGGAAAAAAA